GCCUCCUUAGCUUAGUGGUAGAGCAUCUGUCUUGUAUUUUCAUGCAUAACAGAAGGUCGUGUGUUCAAUCCACAUGGGGGGCA
This is a non-coding RNA of Clavulina sp. PMI_390, 83 nucleotides long. Lineage: Eukaryota; Fungi; Basidiomycota; Agaricomycetes; Cantharellales; Hydnaceae. The record is from the annotation of a GenBank genome assembly.